This 466-nucleotide ribosomal RNA is filed under the name uncultured bacterium. RNAcentral describes it as "partial 16S ribosomal RNA". It matches the Rfam family "Bacterial small subunit ribosomal RNA", at positions 28 to 507 of the family's 1533-position model. The record is from RNAcentral.
GAUGAACGCUGGCGGCGUGCUUAACACAUGCAAGUCGAACGAUGAAGCCCAGCUUGCUGGGUGGAUUAGUGGCGAACGGGUGAGUAACACGUGAGUAACCUGCCCUUGACUCUGUGAUAAGCCUGGGAAACUGGGUCUAAUACUGGAUAUGACUUCUCAUCGCAUGGUGGGGGGUGGAAAGAUUUAUUGGUCUUGGAUGGACUCGCGGCCUAUCAGCUUGUUGGUGAGGUAAUGGCUCACCAAGGCGACGACGGGUAGCCGGCCUGAGAGGGUGACCGGCCACACUGGGACUGAGACACGGCCCAGACUCCUACGGGAGGCAGCAGUGGGGAAUAUUGCACAAUGGGCGCAAGCCUGAUGCAGCGACGCCGCGUGAGGGAUGACGGCCUUCGGGUUGUAAACCUCUUUCAGUAGGGAAGAAGCGAGAGUGACGGUACCUGCAGAAGAAGCGCCGGCUAACUACGUG